UACGUAGGGGGCUAGCGUUGUCCGGAUUUAUUGGGCGUAAAGAGCGUGUAGGCGGCCAUGUAGGUCCGGUGUGAAAACUCGAGGCUUAACCUCGAGAUGUCAUCGGAAACCAUUUGGCUAGAGUCCGGAAGAGGAGAGUGGAAUUCCUGGUGUAGCGGUGAAAUGCGCAGAUAUCAGGAGGAACACCGAUGGCGAAGGCAGGUCUCUGGGCCACUACUGACGCUGAGGCGCGAAAGCAUGGGGAGCGAACAGG
RNAcentral lists this ribosomal RNA (253 nucleotides) under uncultured bacterium. RNAcentral's name for it is "partial 16S ribosomal RNA". It matches the Rfam family "Bacterial small subunit ribosomal RNA", at positions 524 to 776 of the family's 1533-position model. The record is from RNAcentral.